Molecule: non-coding RNA, 26 nt
Filed under: Drosophila melanogaster (fruit fly)
Lineage: Eukaryota; Metazoa; Arthropoda; Insecta; Diptera; Drosophilidae
Source: RNAcentral
UCUUCAUUGCGACGGCGACUCUCAAA